AUUGAACGCUGGCGGCAGGCCUAACACAUGCAAGUCGAGCGGCAGCGACUUAACUGAACCUUCGGGGAACGUUAAGGGCGGCGAGCGGCGGACGGGUGAGUAAUGCCUGGGAAUAUACCCUGAUGUGGGGGAUAACUAUUGGAAACGAUAGCUAAUACCGCAUAAUCUCUUCGGAGCAAAGAGGGGGACCUUCGGGCCUCUCGCGUCAGGAUUAGCCCAGGUGGGAUUAGCUUGUUGGUGAGGUAAUGGCUCACCAAGGCGACGAUCCCUAGCUGGUCUGAGAGGAUGAUCAGCCACACUGGAACUGAGACACGGUCCAGACUCCUACGGGAGGCAGCAGUGGGGAAUAUUGCACAAUGGGGGAAACCCUGAUGCAGCCAUGCCGCGUGUGUGAAGAAGGCCUUCGGGUUGUAAAGCACUUUCAGUAGGGAGGAAGGUAGUGCAGUUAACACCUGCAUUAUUUGACGUUACCUACAGAAGAAGCACCGGCUAACUCCGUGCCAGCAGCCGCGGUAAUACGGAGGGUGCGAGCGUUAAUCGGAAUUACUGGGCGUAAAGCGCAUGCAGGCGGCCUGUUAAGUCAGAUGUGAAAGCCCGGGGCUUAACCUCGGAAUUGCAUUUGAAACUGGCAGGCUAGAGUCUUGUAGAGGGGGGUAGAAUUUCAGGUGUAGCGGUGAAAUGCGUAGAGACCUGAAGGAAUACCAGUGGCGAAGGCGGCCCCCUGGACAAAGACUGACGCUCAGAUGCGAAAGCGUGGGGAGCAAACAGG
Molecule: ribosomal RNA, 769 nt
Filed under: uncultured bacterium
Lineage: Bacteria
Description: bacterial SSU rRNA
Rfam family: Bacterial small subunit ribosomal RNA
Source: RNAcentral